This 250-nucleotide unclassified non-coding RNA is filed under the name Hevea brasiliensis (rubber tree). The record is from RNAcentral. Lineage: Eukaryota; Viridiplantae; Streptophyta; Magnoliopsida; Malpighiales; Euphorbiaceae.
AUCUUCAUGGAAAUCAAUCAUGCGCUGGAUGUCUUUGUCACUAGAUAUGGUGAUAAGCGUCUGCUUGUUAUUGGGUAGGAAAUAUUUGAUGGUCAAGGAAUUAGGAUCAUAAUUCCACAUGUCUGCCACCUCCGACUUCAAGUCACAAAAUUUGCUUUUACGGUUUACACUAAGAGCAUGAGCAUCUCCACCUGUGUACGACAAGGAACCAUCACUAGCUGAGGUGAACUUCCCACCUGAUUGACAUAUA